UGGGGAAUCUUCCGCAAUGGACGAAAGUCUGACGGAGCAACGCCGCGUGUAUGAUGAAGGUCUUCGGAUUGUAAAGUACUGUCAUUGGGGAAGAACGGUUUUCUUGAAAAGAUUGAGAAGACAUGACGGUACCCAAGGAGGAAGCCCCGGCUAACUACGUGCCAGCAGCCGCGGUAAUACGUAGGGGGCAAGCGUUGUCCGGAAUUAUUGGGCGUAAAGGGCGCGUAGGCGGCCUUUAAGUCCGGUGUGAAAGAUCAGGGCUCAACCCUGAGAGUGCAUCGGAAACUGGAGGCCUUGAGGACAGGAGAGGAAAGUGGAAUUCCACGUGUAGCGGUGAAAUGCGUAGAUAUGUGGAGGAACACCAGUGGCGAAGGCGACUUUCUGGACUGUAACUGACGCUGAGGCGCGAAAGCGUGGGGAGCAAACAGGAUUAGAUACCCUGGUAGUCCACGCCGUAAACGAUGAGUGCUAGGUGUAGAGGGUAUCGACCCCCUUCUGUGCCGCAGUUAACACAAUAAGGCACUCCCCGCCUGGGGAGGUACGGCCNCAAGGUUG
This 555-nucleotide ribosomal RNA is filed under the name uncultured bacterium. RNAcentral's name for it is "partial 16S ribosomal RNA". It matches the Rfam family "Bacterial small subunit ribosomal RNA", at positions 355 to 896 of the family's 1533-position model. The record is from RNAcentral.